This 812-nucleotide long non-coding RNA is filed under the name Homo sapiens (human). Its description in RNAcentral is "non-protein coding LINC00454:3". The record is from RNAcentral. Lineage: Eukaryota; Metazoa; Chordata; Mammalia; Primates; Hominidae.
AGGGGACGCACGCGGGGACGCUGGGGGACGUGGGGGCGCCGAGGGACUUGGAGGGCGCCGAGGGACGUGGGGGCGCUGAGGGACGUUGGGGGUGCUGAGGGGACGCCCGCAGGGGCCGCUGAGGGACGUGGGAGUGUUGAGACACAGACACAGGAAGCAUCAACUCUGAGGCUUUGGCCAGGAUGUGAGCCCGACUUUCGCAGCCCCAACUGGCAGGCUGACCUCAUGUGAACUCCCUGGCGAUGGCAUCCUGGAGACACCCACAUGGCUGAGCUGGCACCAUAGGUGAGGCCACUUCCUGCGAAGGUAGCUGGAUGCUCCUGCCUGGAGCUGCCCCCGGACCACAGAGCAUCCAGGAGAUGAAUGCACUUCCAGCCCCGCCACCCUGGGGAGAUAUACAGCUGAGGUGGCAGCUUUGGAGCAAGCAGGGCAGAGAUGCUUCCCCCUGAGGUCCCUCCCAGCUCUGCUACCUUGUCACUCAAGCACUCAUAAUCCAGGUUCAGUUUCUGCCAGCACUAAUUUGGUUUAUUCCACAUGGCUGGAGCCACUGCGGGACUCCAUUUGUUCCGGGGCCACCUUCCUGUCACCUUUUACUGUUUCUUGAGUCAGCAAGAAAGGCAGAUCCGACUGAAGACUCCAGCACUCUCCUCAGCUGCAGCCCCCACAGAGCUCCGCGAAGUCCUUUCUCCCACAGGACAGAUCUGAGGCACCCACCAUUAGAAGAAAGGAGUGGAGAAAUGAUAUGCAGGAAGAAGGCCCAUUCUGAUUCACCAAUCGCAUGGACGCACUUUCCUACCAGGCUAGGAGGGAGG